Cannabis sativa is the source of this 1203-nucleotide long non-coding RNA. RefSeq lists it as uncharacterized. Lineage: Eukaryota; Viridiplantae; Streptophyta; Magnoliopsida; Rosales; Cannabaceae. The record is from RefSeq and is a predicted model, not a curated record. The transcript is spliced from 2 exons.
AAGAAAUAAUAUAAUCGAGCCCAUGAUGUCUCGAAGAUCUGAACCCUCCAAGUCUAAUCAUCUCGAUAUAUACAAUCUUCAUCGAGCUCCAAACUCAUCGCUUAUUUAGUCUUUGCCUUGCCUUUACAUACACAUGAAGCACAUAUCUGUGAGUUAACAGACUCAGUAAGAAAAUCAUAAUAUAAGAUACAACUUGCCUUUAUAUCUUAGGCGCCUAUACACCUUAUACCGAGUAAUUAUCAUGCGUCCAACGCAUACAAGUCUCGAACGUUCUUGACAAGAGUACAAAUAGUCCAUACCCCCUUGAAUCUCCAUUUAUCUCUGUACCACAUGCACUUAGUACCUCUAACGUAAUAAUGUUAGUAGGGUUUGUUUGAACCUCCUAACCUCUUUACCAUAUGCACUCAUUACCUCUAAUGUACUAGUGUCGGUAUGGUUAGUUCGAGUCACUAUACCACAUGCACUCAGUACCAAUAACGUACUAGUGUUGGUAGAACUAGCUUGAGUCUCUAUACCACAUGCACUUAGUUCCUCUAACGUACUAAUGUUGGUAGAACUAUCUUAUAUUUCAUAAUGCAUGCAUACAACAUGUAUAUAUAUGUGCAUCCUUUAUGCUAAUCUUACCUCACUUCCGUAAUCAGGUAUACCAAACAAUCCGAGUGGAAGUAUUGCUCAAUAAUUCUGGGACUCUAAGUCACAAUAAUGCAAAAUAGGUAGACAUUCACACACCAGGCUGUCCCAUAACCGCACAGACAAGAAGAAUCAAACAUCCAUUCCUUAAUUCUUUUCACCAAAACCAAAGGUAAUUUUCACACAUACAUGUAUACGAGAUAGAUUAAUUAUCUUAAAGUGGCAUAUAUAUUCACAUCUAUUGUACCAUAAGAGUGCGCUCAGAUCCAUUCACAAGAUUCCGUUAAGUAUUUUCCAAUUUCCAUCAACAUAUCUGGGAUAUCAUUAUUUGUUUCUUGAUUCAGGUUUGGAUGUAUUUUGAGUGGUCAAUGGUCAUAAAUUAAGAUGUCCCACUUGAUUGUAUAGUAGUGAAGUUGGUUUCAUAAUUAACUACUCUUUUUUGCAUACAAAUUGCGCUCUUACAAUUCGAAAAAUCCAAAUUGAUCGUAUUUAAUUUAUAUGAAAAUUAUGCUGAUGAGUGAUGCUUACUUAGAUACAAUUGAAAUGAAUGAAAGAUAGGAAUAGUUUAGUUUA